UGCGUAGGCGGUGCGGUAAGUCUGUUGUGAAAUCUCCGGGCUCAACUCGGAGCCUGCAACGGAAACUGCCGUGCUGGAGUAUGGGAGAGGUGAGUGGAAUUCCCGGUGUAGCGGUGAAAUGCGUAGAUAUCGGGAGGAAGACCUGUGGCGAAAGCGGCUCACUGGACCAUUACUGACGCUGAUGCACGAAAGCUAGGGGAGCAAACAGGAUUAGAUACCCUGGUAGUCCUAGCCCUAAACGAUGAUCGCUUGGUGUGACAGGUACCCAAUCCUGUUGUGCCGGAGCUAACGCGUUAAGCGAUCCGCCUGGGGAGUACGGUCGCAAGGCUAGAA
Molecule: ribosomal RNA, 333 nt
Filed under: uncultured bacterium
Lineage: Bacteria
Description: bacterial SSU rRNA
Rfam family: Bacterial small subunit ribosomal RNA
Source: RNAcentral